Non-coding RNA from Urocitellus parryii (Arctic ground squirrel), 1047 nucleotides. The record is from RefSeq and is a predicted model, not a curated record. Lineage: Eukaryota; Metazoa; Chordata; Mammalia; Rodentia; Sciuridae.
UCGUGUACUGUAGAAGACUGGCUAUGGAGGCAGGUGGGCUGCUUGCUACUUUAACUUCCUGGAAGGUCGUGGCUGUGAAUGACUUUUCUUCUUCACCUUUAGUUCUGGUUCAAGGUAUCUCUAGAAAAUGACAAGACUGAGAUAUUCUCUUUGGUGGAUUAGCAGUCUGCUUCAGAAGGAGGAAGGCUGGCCAGAGUUGGGCAGCACUGAAAGUCCACAGCCUCAAGCUGGCGCCGAUUCUAAAUGAUCAAAGGCAGAAGAUUUAUACCAGAUAAAGCCAUAUGGAUUGCUGGUCUAAAAUUCAAGGCAGGUUAGUUGACUUAAUUCUUUGGUGCUGGUGACUGUUAGUUUGUAAAAAUUCAGUAGUCAGAAGGAAGUGGUGGUGUUGGGAGCUGUCGAGUGAUACUUAUGGUCCAUAAGUAGGGCUAACUGGACAAAUCCUGCCACUUAGUGUCCAGUUUGGUGCUCAGAGCCUUGCUCUCAGUUGCUGGCACGGCCUCACCUUGCCAGUGAGGACUGGCAGAAGGGAAAUGUGGACUGUGGUAGAGUCAGCAGGGUAUCUGCCCCUCACUGGUGAGAGUAUCUACCCUGGGGACAAACUGUUCCUCUGCUUUAGCAGAAAGGUAUCAACUUAGUGUCACUUUUUCCAGGGCCAUGAAGGGACUUUUUGUCAGAAUGUAUGUGAGCCAUCCUGGUAACCUUGACACAGGUAGUAUUCUGGGGACUUCCAAUUGUCUGUCACAAAAUUUUGGCAACCUGUAGUUUAGACCUGCUAAGUUUGCAGUACCUGGUGGCACUACUUGAGAUGUGUAUAUUGAGCAACUGCUGAGAAGUGAAUGCCUCUAGUUGGAAGAUGUUUGAAUUUAUGCCUGGAAGGAGGGCAUUCACUUGGUUCACUAUCCACCUGUUCCCUUUCCUAUGCACAUAGGAGAAAAUCUGGAUCAGUGACCAAUCAGAAUUGCCUUUCUGUCUUAGAAAAGAAAUUCCAGAAUGUUGCUUACUUCUUCAGUGCGCACUUAGCUUUUUUUUCUUCUUCAAGAGAAGCCU